Non-coding RNA from Lathyrus oleraceus (garden pea), 82 nucleotides. The record is from the annotation of a RefSeq genome assembly. Lineage: Eukaryota; Viridiplantae; Streptophyta; Magnoliopsida; Fabales; Fabaceae.
GUCGCUUUGGCUGAGUGGUUAAGGUGUGUGCCUGCUAAGGACGCAGGGUUUCCCUGCGAGAGUUCAAAUCUCUCGGGCGACG